CUCUGGUUCAGUGGCGGACGGGUGCGUAACACGUGAGGAACAUGUCUUUCGGUGGGGGAUAGCCGGCCCAACGGCCGGGUAAUACCGCAUACGCUGCUCGGAGCUCCUGCUCUGAGUCGGAAAGCAGCAAUGCGCCGAUUGAGUGCCUCGCGGCCUAUCAGCUAGUUGGUGAGGUAAUGGCUCACCAAGGCGACGACGGGUAGCUGGUCUGAGAGGAUGGCCAGCCACAUUGGGACUGAGACACGGCCCAGACUCCUACGGGAGGCAGCAGUGGGGAAUAUUGCGCAAUGGGCGAAAGCCUGACGCAGCGACGCCGCGUGUGGGAUGACGGCCUUCGGGUUGUAAACCACUGUCGGGAGGGACGAAGAUCUGACGGUACCUCCAAAGGAAGCACCGGCUAACUCUGUGCCAGCAGCCGCGGUAAUACAGAGGGUGCGAGCGUUG
This 444-nucleotide ribosomal RNA is filed under the name uncultured bacterium. Its description in RNAcentral is "bacterial SSU rRNA". It matches the Rfam family "Bacterial small subunit ribosomal RNA", at positions 85 to 543 of the family's 1533-position model. The record is from RNAcentral.